Molecule: non-coding RNA, 1166 nt
Organism: Procambarus clarkii (red swamp crayfish)
Lineage: Eukaryota; Metazoa; Arthropoda; Malacostraca; Decapoda; Cambaridae
Source: RefSeq, a predicted model, not a curated record
GGGCCAAGAUCGGUAGUAACUGUUUGUAUUGUGUUGGAAGAGGAUGUAUUGGCCAGUGUGGUAGACUAGCGGAACGACAGCUGAAACGGCUGAAACAUCGGGAAGAAACGGAGGAGACCAAUAUUAACAAGACCUCGUCGUGGAUAGUUAAGGACAGGGGUCUUGAAGACCUUGACAAGGCGUCCUACAGACGCCCUAAGGACAGCAAAUUCAUUUGCCGUGUUGGACAAGUGCUGUGGUGAGCCUGCAGUUCACUCGAAACGGAAAUCGGCGAGGAGCGGCGAAGCGCAGACCCCUCAGGCUGCUCAGAAAGUUAAGGAGAUGGUAAAUUGUUUCGGCUGCUACAGCUCUCCAGCCCAAGUUGUUGACUGGCUAGUCUUUGACUGCCUCCCAACAUGUUAGUGAGGUCCUGAGCUGAUGUACCCUAUGGCGAAGAGUGAGGCACUAGUUUCCUGAAGUAAUGUAUAGCAUGAGAUGGCACCCAUUCUAAACAGCAGCCGGCACCAACUCUGGCCGACGUUGGAGUAGACAAGACCCAGAUCCUGUGGGGAGGAAAAGUCUACACUAAACUGUAAAAGGGUGUUGGUUUUUCUCACUGAAGCUACCACUCGUGCAAUUUUGAUUGGUGAUCGUGACUUAGUCCUCCUCGUGAUCUACGGCAAGAAAGUUGAUUGUGGCCAUACCUGUUGGAGUAGUAAAGACAAACGUUCAAAUUGCUCUUCUUGAUGUAACCCCCAAGCUGUAGGCUGCUGUUAUUUUAAGAGAAAGUGCAGUGGCCUGUUGGACCACCUGGACAGCGAGGCGCGAGAGUUGGAAGUGUUUCCACCAUUACGUCAGAUACUCCUCUGCCGCAGAUUUGGAAGAUUUGCAAUAUUGUGGGUCCUUCCGACAUAACUUCAGGAACAGUUGCAGAACAAUCGCUGGAAGUGUUAAAUGCUACAGAAAGUAGCAUAGUUGUCAGAAUUAGAGGGCCAAAAAUAUUGAUGGGAAAGUUGAACUUCAGCCCUGAGUUUGAAGGUGUUAAUUGCUUGACAUUCUGAAUUAGGUGGUAUGGAAGAUUACAAUGUCAUCAAAGCAUUGACUGGCUUCAGUGUGGUUGUUCUACUCUGCAAAUCUAUGAAAGUUGGUGAUUGUCUCUGGAGUUGUCUUGGCCUUUUGGAUCUUCU